AGGCGCCUGCCCCUCGUGAUCGUCUUCUCACCUUUCACGGCGGCGGGGAGCCCGAGCACCACGAAGGCCCCCACGUGACACACGUGGGGGCCUUCG
RNAcentral lists this non-coding RNA (96 nucleotides) under Streptomyces sp. NRRL B-3648. The record is from Rfam by way of RNAcentral. Lineage: Bacteria; Bacillati; Actinomycetota; Actinomycetes; Kitasatosporales; Streptomycetaceae.